GGUUGUGACAGUGAUCUGGCUGAGACAUCUGUCACCCCACAGAUCGCCCGAGUUGAUUCAGCUGACCUGGCUAGGCGCGUGCCCCCUUCCUCUCUCACCACUCCAUGUGCGUCCCUCCUGAAGCUGCACACUCAGUCGAGGGGGAUGAGGACUGGUCUUCAGUCAAGGGUAUAGGAGUAGCGCUCCCCUGCAAGAACCUCUAAACAAGCUCUCACUAAGUCGCCCAAUUGGCCACAAUCUUACAAUG
Molecule: small RNA, 247 nt
Filed under: Jaculus jaculus (lesser Egyptian jerboa)
Lineage: Eukaryota; Metazoa; Chordata; Mammalia; Rodentia; Dipodidae
Description: 7SK RNA (ENSJJAG00000003806.1)
Rfam family: 7SK RNA
About the family: 7SK was discovered as an abundant small nuclear RNA in the mid-70s but a possible function has only recently been suggested.
Source: RNAcentral